AUUGAACGCUGGCGGCAUGCUUUACACAUGCAAGUCGAGCGGCAGCGCGGGGCAACCCUGGCGGCGAGCGGCGAACGGGUGAGUAAUGCAUCGGAACGUAUCCUCGAGUGGGGGAUAACCCAGCGAAAGUUGGGCUAAUACCGCAUGAGCUCUGAGGAGGAAAGCGGGGGACCUGCGAGGGCCUCGCGCUGGAGGAGCGGCCGAUGUCCGAUUAGCUAGUUGGUGGGGUAAAGGCUUACCAAGGCGACGAUCGGUAGCUGGUCUGAGAGGAUGAUCAGCCACACUGGGACUGAGACACGGCCCAGACUCCUACGGGAGGCAGCAGUGGGGAAUUUUGGACAAUGGGGGCAACCCUGAUCCAGCCAUGCCGCGUGAGUGAAGAAGGCCUUCGGGUUGUAAAGCUCUUUCGGACGGAACGAAAUGGGCGGGACUAAUACUCCUGUCUGAUGACGGUACCGUAAGAAGAAGCACCGGCUAACUACGUG
Molecule: ribosomal RNA, 485 nt
Filed under: uncultured bacterium
Lineage: Bacteria
Description: partial 16S ribosomal RNA
Rfam family: Bacterial small subunit ribosomal RNA
Source: RNAcentral